RNAcentral lists this ribosomal RNA (875 nucleotides) under Circassina frutis frutis. RNAcentral describes it as "partial 16S ribosomal RNA". Lineage: Eukaryota; Metazoa; Mollusca; Gastropoda; Stylommatophora; Hygromiidae. The record is from RNAcentral.
GAAAUUAUAAUAAUAAAAUAUUAUUAUUCACGAAGCCAGGCGAGCUAAAUUCUAUUUUUAUUAGCAGAUGAUUGUUAGUGUUUCAAUACUAAUUUAAUAUAAGAAUUUAGGGGCGAAAGGCCUUUCAAGUCUGUCAAUAUCUUGAUUAUAAGUAAAGGUAUUUAGUAUAGAAUUAACCUAAAAAUGAUAAGGUUUUUAGGGUUCAUAAUUUUAAAAUACUGAUUAACUGAAUGUGUAAAAAUUCCUGUUUAAAUUAAGUAGAACAUAGAUUGUUAAAAAUAUAUGUAUAUUACUUAUAUUUUUAAAUUAACAUAGAUUUUAAACUAAAAAUGAUUUCAUUAGUAUUUUACUUAUUUUUUUUUAAGGAACUCGGCAAAAAUUUUUCUCGACUGUUUAACAAAAACAUUGCUUUAAGUUAUUAUUUCAAGUUUGCCCUGCUCAAUGAUACUAAUUAAAUAGCCGCAGUACCCUGACUGUGCAAAGGUAGCAUAAUCAAUUGGCUUAUAAUUGAAGUCUAGUAUGAAUGGGAAUCCGGGAAUAAGCUAUCUAAAAAAAAUUCUUAGAACUUACUUAAUAAGUGAAAAUUCUUAUAUUUAGAAAAAAGACGAGAAGACCCUAGAAAUUUUUAAUAGAACUUUUGUAUAUUACAUAAAAUAUUUUGUUGGGGCGACAUGGUAACAUUUAUUAUAUAGAACUUACCAAAGAAAUUUUAAGGAAUUAUUUAAUAGAAUACAUAAAUUACUCUAGGGAUAACAGCAUAAUUUAUUAUUAAGAUUUUGACCUCGAUGUUGGACUAGGAAAUUAUUUACUUAAAAGGUAAAUAAGAAAGCUCUGUUCGAGCUAUAUUUCACCUACAUGAUCUGAGUUCAGACCGG